AAUAUAAUUGCUGGGUCAUGUGCUGUCCAUUUUUAAUUUUAAAAGAAACUGCUAAACUGUUUUCCAGAGUGACUGCACCAUUCUACAUUUCCACCAACAGU
This 101-nucleotide microRNA precursor is filed under the name Marmota monax (woodchuck). Lineage: Eukaryota; Metazoa; Chordata; Mammalia; Rodentia; Sciuridae. The record is from RNAcentral.